UUAUCUCUGUAGAGUCUGCAUAUCAAUAAGCGGAGGAAAAGAAACUAACUAGGAUUCCCUCAGUAACGGCGAGUGAAGCGGGAAGAGCUCAAAUUUGAAAUCUUCAAGGUUUUACCUUGACGAAUUGUAGUUUAAAGAAGUGUUUUCUGUUGGAGUUUUGGUAAAAGUUCUUUGGAAUAGGACAUCAUAGAGGGUGAGAAUCCCGUAUUUGACCAUUAUUUCCAGCUUUGUGAUACACUUUCAAAGAGUCGGAUUGUUUGGGAAUGCAGUCCAAAAUGGGUGGUAAAUUUCAUCUAAAGCUAAAUAUUGGCGAGAGACCGAUAGCGAACAAGUACCGUGAGGGAAAGAUGAAAAGAACUUUGAAAAGAGAGUUAAACAGUACGUGAAAUUGUCAAAAGGGAAGCGUUUGACACCAGUGUUGUUUUCUCGAAAAUCAAUUAAAAAAGGCAGGAUUUUGUGUUGUAUUGACUUUAUCAGCUUUCUGCACUCUUUUCUUGUCUUUUUUAAUGCACUUUUCGUUUAACAAGUCAACAUCAAUUUCUUUUGUUGUAAAAGGGUCAUUGGAAGGUGGCUUUCUUUUCGGAGAAAGUGUUUAUAGCCUUUGGCCUCUGCAAUCGGAGAGAUUGAGGUCUGCAGCGUAGAUCCUUCGGGGUUAGAUACAUUUGUGCUAAGUUAUAGCCUUUCAUAGACAACUUGUUGACUAUGAUCAGUCAUGUAGCUUACUCGCUUAUGUUAUUUUACCUACGCUUAGGAUGUUGACGAUCAGCUGAGCGCG
This 775-nucleotide ribosomal RNA is filed under the name uncultured Neocallimastigales. RNAcentral describes it as "partial large subunit ribosomal RNA". It matches the Rfam family "Eukaryotic large subunit ribosomal RNA", at positions 24 to 627 of the family's 3401-position model. Lineage: Eukaryota; Fungi; Neocallimastigomycota; Neocallimastigomycetes; Neocallimastigales. The record is from RNAcentral.